AACGAACGCUGGCGGCAGGCCUAACACAUGCAAGUCGAACGGACCCUUCGGGGUUAGUGGCGCACGGGUGCGGAACACGUGGGAACAUACCCUUUGGUAAGGAAUAAUAUUUGGAAACGAAUACUAAUACCUUAUAAUAUCUUCGGAUCAAAGAUUUAUCGCCAAAGGAUUGGCCCGCGUCUGAUUAGCUUGUUGGUGAGGUAAUGGCUCACCAAGGCUACGAUCAGUAGGGGGUCUGAGAGGAUGAUCCCCCCACACUGGGACUGAGACACGGCCCAGACUCCUACGGGAGGCAGCAGUGAGGAAUAUUGCACAAUGGAGGAAACUCUGAUGCAGCCAUGCCGCGUGAGUGAAGAAGGCCUUAGGGUUGUAAAGCUCUUUCAAUGGUGAAGAUAAUGACGGUAGCCAUAGAAGAAGCCCCGGCUAAAUUCGUG
This 434-nucleotide ribosomal RNA is filed under the name uncultured bacterium. Its description in RNAcentral is "bacterial SSU rRNA". It matches the Rfam family "Bacterial small subunit ribosomal RNA", at positions 29 to 507 of the family's 1533-position model. The record is from RNAcentral.